UACGGAGGGUGCAAGCGUUAUCCGGAUUCACUGGGUUUAAAGGGUGCGUAGGCGGGUUGGUAAGUCCGUGGUGAAAUCUCCGAGCUUAACUCGGAAACUGCCGUGGAUACUAUCAAUCUUGAAUAUCGUGGAGGUAAGCGGAAUAUGUCAUGUAGCGGUGAAAUGCUUAGAUAUGACAUAGAACACCAAUUGCGUAGGCAGCUUACUACACGAUCAUUGACGCUGAGGCACGAAAGCGUGGGGAGCAAACAGGA
RNAcentral lists this ribosomal RNA (254 nucleotides) under uncultured prokaryote. RNAcentral describes it as "partial 16S ribosomal RNA". It matches the Rfam family "Bacterial small subunit ribosomal RNA", at positions 524 to 777 of the family's 1533-position model. The record is from RNAcentral.